AGUUCUGUCGCUGAGAUAAUUCUGAUUUAACCCCAUCUAUCAAGAUGGCCUGAGUUCUGUCGCUGAGAUAAUUCUGAAACUAUAAACAACCUGUAUAUACCAGGCCUAUUUUUUAUAAUUUCUUCAGCAAAACAGAAUGAUCAACAGUGUCGACCGCCUUUGACAGAUCAAUAAACGAAGCAGCACAGCUUUUUCUAGCAUCCAAGGCAUUGACAAGAUCAUUAACAUCUAGCGUGGUUGCUGUGGUAGUACUAUGCCCAGGUUGGUGUAUAUUAAGAAAACAAAUAUCAGAUAAAAAGGAACAAAGUUGUACAUUUAACCAAGGAUUCAAGAAUCUUAGCUAAACAAGGUAGUCCCCACCAUAAUGGAGUGAUAGAUGUCCAGAUCAUUUGUAUCCACACCCUAAUGGAGUGAUAGAUGUCCAGAUCAUUUGUAUCCCCACCCUAAUGGAGUGAUAGAUGUCCAGAUCAUUUGUAUCCCCACCCUAAUGGAGUGAUAGAUGUCCAGAUCAUUUGUAUCCCCACCCUAAUGGGAGUGAUAGAUGUCCAGAUCAUUUGUAUCCCCACCCUAAUGGAGUGAUAGAUGUCCAGAUCAUUUGUAUCCCCACCCUAAUGGGAGUGAUAGAUGUCCAGAUCAUUUGUAUCCCCACCCUAAUGGAGUGACAGAUGUCCAGAUCAUUUGUAUCCCCACCCUAAUGGAGUGAUAGAUGUCCAGAUCAUUUGUAUCCCCACCCUAAUGGAGUGACAGAUGUCCAGAUCAUUUGUAUCCCCACCCAAAUGGGAGUGAUAGAUGUCCAGAUCAUUUGUAUCCCCACCCUAAUGGAGUGACAGAUGUCCAGAUCAUUUGUAUCCCCACCCUAAUGGAGUGAUAGAUGUCCAGAUCAUUUGUAUCCCCACCCUAAUGGAGUGACAGAUGUCCAGGUUAUUUGUAACCCCACCCUAAUGGAGUGACAGCUCAUAUGCAGAUGUCCAUGCUUUUGAAAUACUUCCUAACUAUGUUAAUAUAAAAUGUGGGCCAC
Oncorhynchus tshawytscha (Chinook salmon) is the source of this 1018-nucleotide long non-coding RNA. The record is from Ensembl. Lineage: Eukaryota; Metazoa; Chordata; Actinopteri; Salmoniformes; Salmonidae.